This 72-nucleotide transfer RNA is filed under the name Camelus bactrianus (Bactrian camel). It matches the Rfam family "tRNA". Rfam says of the family: Transfer RNA (tRNA) molecules are approximately 80 nucleotides in length. Their secondary structure includes four short double-helical elements and three loops (D, anti-codon, and T loops). Lineage: Eukaryota; Metazoa; Chordata; Mammalia; Artiodactyla; Camelidae. The record is from Rfam by way of RNAcentral. RNAcentral also lists the same sequence under 1 other name.
GAGGGUACAGCUCAGUGGUAGAGUGCGUGCUUAGCAUGCACAAGGUUCUGGGUUCAAUCCCCAGUACCUCCA